Molecule: ribosomal RNA, 467 nt
Filed under: uncultured bacterium
Lineage: Bacteria
Description: bacterial SSU rRNA
Rfam family: Bacterial small subunit ribosomal RNA
Source: RNAcentral
UUACGGAAGGCAGCAGUGGGGAAUUUUGCGCAAUGGGGGAAACCCUGACGCAGCAACGCCGCGUGAGUGAUGAAGGCCUUCGGGUCGUAAAGCUCUGUCAGAGGGGAAGAAGUGUAUGGGUGCUAAUACCAUCUAUACUUGACGGUACCCUCAAAGGAAGCACCGGCUAACUCCGUGCCAGCAGCCGCGGUAAUACGGAGGGUGCAAGCGUUGUUCGGAUUUAUUGGGCGUAAAGCGCGUGUAGGCGGUCUUUUAAGUCUGAUGUGAAAGCCCCGGGCUCAACCCGGGAAGUGCAUUGGAAACUGGGAGACUUGAAUACGGGAGAGGGUAGUGGAAUUCCUAGUGUAGGAGUGAAAUCCGUAGAUAUUAGGAGGAACACCGGUGGCGAAGGCGGCUACCUGGACCGAUAUUGACGCUGAGACGCGAAAGCGUGGGGAGCAAACAGGAUUAGAUACCCGUGUAGUCCA